GCAGCCGUCGAAGGUGGGUUGAAUGAUUGGGGUGAAGUCGUAACAAGGUAGCCGUAUCGGAAGGUGCGGCUGGAUCACCUCCUUUCUAAGGA
This 92-nucleotide ribosomal RNA is filed under the name Dolosigranulum pigrum. RNAcentral's name for it is "partial 16S ribosomal RNA". It matches the Rfam family "Bacterial small subunit ribosomal RNA", at positions 1449 to 1533 of the family's 1533-position model. The record is from RNAcentral. Lineage: Bacteria; Bacillati; Bacillota; Bacilli; Lactobacillales; Carnobacteriaceae.